This 429-nucleotide ribosomal RNA is filed under the name Acidobacteriota bacterium. RNAcentral describes it as "Acidobacteria bacterium partial 16S ribosomal RNA". It matches the Rfam family "Bacterial small subunit ribosomal RNA", at positions 355 to 776 of the family's 1533-position model. The record is from RNAcentral. Lineage: Bacteria; Pseudomonadati; Acidobacteriota.
UGGGGAAUUUUGGACAAUGGGCGAAAGCCUGAUCCAGCAAUGCCGCGUGUGUGAAGAAGGCCUUCGGGUUGUAAAGCACUUUUGUCCGGAAAGAAAUGGCUCUGGUUAAUACCUGGGGUCGAUGACGGUACCGGAAGAAUAAGGACCGGCUAACUACGUGCCAGCAGCCGCGUUAAUACGUAGGGUCCAAGCGUUAAUCGGAAUUACUGGGCGUAAAGCGUGCGCAGGCGGUUGUGUAAGACCGAUGUGAAAUCCCCGAGCUUAACUUGGGAAUUGCAUUGGUGACUGCACGGCUAGAGUGUGUCAGAGGGGGGUAGAAUUCCACGUGUAGCAGUGAAAUGCGUAGAGAUGUGGAGGAAUACCGAUGGCGAAGGCAGCCCCCUGGGAUAACACUGACGCUCAUGCACGAAAGCGUGGGGAGCAAACAGG